This 465-nucleotide ribosomal RNA is filed under the name Vreelandella stevensii. RNAcentral's name for it is "partial 16S ribosomal RNA". It matches the Rfam family "Bacterial small subunit ribosomal RNA", at positions 338 to 795 of the family's 1533-position model. The record is from RNAcentral. Lineage: Bacteria; Pseudomonadati; Pseudomonadota; Gammaproteobacteria; Oceanospirillales; Halomonadaceae.
CCUACGGGAGGCUGCAGUGGGGAAUAUUGGACAAUGGGGGCAACCCUGAUCCAGCCAUGCCGCGUGUGUGAAGAAGGCCCUCGGGUUGUAAAGCACUUUCAGUGAGGAAGAACGCCUGGUGGUUAAUACCCAUCAGGAAAGACAUCACUCACAGAAGAAGUACCGGCUAACUCCGUGCCAGCAGCCGCGGUAAUACGGAGGGUGCGAGCGUUAAUCGGAAUUACUGGGCGUAAAGCGCGCGUAGGUGGCUUGAUAAGCCGGUUGUGAAAGCCCCGGGCUCAACCUGGGAACGGCAUCCGGAACUGUCAAGCUAGAGUGCAGGAGAGGAAGGUAGAAUUCCCGGUGUAGCGGUGAAAUGCGUAGAGAUCGGGAGGAAUACCAGUGGCGAAGGCGGCCUUCUGGACUGACACUGACACUGAGGUGCGAAAGCGUGGGUAGCAAACAGGAUUAGAUACCCGGGUAGUC